This 201-nucleotide unclassified non-coding RNA is filed under the name Hevea brasiliensis (rubber tree). Lineage: Eukaryota; Viridiplantae; Streptophyta; Magnoliopsida; Malpighiales; Euphorbiaceae. The record is from RNAcentral.
GAGACAUGGGGGCGCGGCGGGGCUUAGGGACAGGGGCGGCCUUGGAGUUGACGACCUUGACAGUGAGAUUGUGGCCGGCGGUGCCGGGCUUUAGUUCUUCUACCUUAACGAAGACGGGCUUUCUCUUCUCUGCUGUCGCCAUUAUCGAGAUCGAGAGAUUUGUUGAGCCCUGGCAGCCCCUCGCAGCAGAGAAUAGAAGAA